UACUUGCUCAUUAUUCUCUACUUGCAUAAUACAAAUAUAAAUUAUUUUCAGGACUGACUGAUCAUCAUGUCAAUAGGCUAGAGAAGUACUUCCUGGUAUGGAGUGGCAAGUACAAGACCAUUAAAGAUGUUCCUGAUCUUGUGAACCAAGAUGUAAUGGAACGUGCCCGCAACAAGGCUAGGAUUAGGAUCAGUGCAUACAUGUGUGUAGCCACUCUACUAGGCUGUCUUGCUAUGGUCUACUCUGGCAAGAAGGCCCAAGAAAGGGGGGAGAGUGUGGCCAAGAUGAACAAGGAGUUCCAUGAAAAGUACCAAGAAGCUGACUUGCCAAAGGCUGCCAAGAAUUAGUACAUGUAUACAGAAAUUUAGUUUGCAUUGUUAUUGGUCCGGAUAAAAGCAGAGCUGCAUUGACCUCGUGUGAGCUCUUGGUUUACUUUCAUCGCUGUUGUAUUUGGGAAACUGUUCUUGCAUGUGUAUUGCCCACAUCAAUCUACCACUCAGGUAUGGCAUUGAUGAACUUAUAUCUUGUUGAUAGUCAGACACCUUUUCAUUCUAUUUAGCAAAAAGUACAUUGAACAAAUUCAUUUCAGACAUCACCUUUUUUCUAUUUUUUUUUUUUUUCAGCUCCUGGGACUUUACCUCUUCUUUCUGAAAGCUCUGCUUUCAUUGUGUGCACACUGACAUUUUAGUUGAAACUGACUUUCUUCUCAAAGUUAGGCUCUGUUAGCUUGUAAGUUAACUCCUUGCAUUACUACUUUGACAAUAAUUUCCCUUGCUCUUAAGUGCUUUGUGACCUGUUUGGUUUUGCCAAAUUUAGUGAUUAAUUAUAAUAAUUAAUAAUAAUACUCACACAUUACAAGUCUUGCUACUUUCUUGCCCUUAAUACUAACACAAGUAUCUUGAUUCAGGGAAUUAGAGCUAACAUUACUUUGGAACAGACUUGAUUAUUUUUUAUUCCCCAGAUGCAUUAUGACCCCUGUAGGUUUAUUGGUCUCUAGGCAAAAAUUAUUACAUUCACUAAAGGAGAGAGAGAGAUCCCUUAGAAUCAAAUGCAAUUCCUGAAGCAAUUUAUCAUAACUGUUAAUGUCGCAAAUUAUAUACACUGAUGAAUCUAGACAGUCUUCUUGGGGAAGUGGAACAGAAUUCUUCCUCCGUAAUCCAUGCGUGUCGUAAGAGGCGACUAAAAUGCUGGGAGCAAGGAGCUAGUAACCCCUUCUCCCGUAUAUAUUACUAAAUGUAAAAGGAGAAACUUUCGUUUUUCCUUUUGGGCCACCCCGCCUCGGUGGGAUACGGCUGGUGUGUUGAAAGAAAGAAUAGUAAUAAUAAUAAUAAUCUAGGCAGUCUACCAUCAGGGCUGCAUCUGAUCUUGACACCUUUGUAGAUAAGAAUUACAGCAGCCAUGUCGAGUUAGGCAUAAAAUUUAACAUUGGAACUUCUCCAUUAGAAAUUGCACUGCUUGCCAUCCUAAUGUCACUAGCUUGUUUGACGAUGAGCUUGAUGAAGCCUGCAUCAUUACUGAUUGUGUCAUCACUGGGUGCAUGCAGCUUGCAUAAUACUUGUUUAACAUCGUGUUCAUUGCUUAACUUAGGUGCAGUUUUUUUCCCCCUCCCUCUGAGGUAAGGUGCUCCCCGGGGAAAAAAAAAAAAACUCGGUCCAUCAGUAUCUUGCUAAAGGGGUGCUGAUACUAUAAUUUAAAAUGAAAAUGGCAAAAAAAUAAAGGAAUUAAUUUAAAUUAAGGACAGAGACACUGAAUAACCUGGAGGAUACCAGGACAGGGUUUUGUGGAUCAGUGCCCCCGCAGCCUGGUCUGUGACCAGGCCUCCUUUCUCCUAAAAUACUUUGAUUCCUUUUGGCUUAGAGCCCUUUCCAUAAAUGUAACUGUAAUAAUCCUAAUCCUAUUUUAUAAUGCUGAUGAAUUAGACAAAGAAAAUACCUCCAGUGAAAAUGUAACUUUGGUGUAUUUGUCACAUCAGAAAUAUUGGAGAGAAAUAAUGAAUGUGAUUGUCAAAGGAAUACAGUUAGAAGCCUGAGUGAUCUAUAACAUGCUAUGAUAACACCAGUGUAGAUAAAGCACAUUGACAGAACAACUUGGAAUGUAAAAAAAAAAAAAAAUGCACUGAAUCAUUGAUGUAUUGGACUAAUGAGGUGAAGGGGGUGUUGGCUUUAAUGAAAA
This is a non-coding RNA of Cherax quadricarinatus, 2172 nucleotides long. Lineage: Eukaryota; Metazoa; Arthropoda; Malacostraca; Decapoda; Parastacidae. The record is from RefSeq and is a predicted model, not a curated record.